Molecule: microRNA precursor, 451 nt
Filed under: Amborella trichopoda
Lineage: Eukaryota; Viridiplantae; Streptophyta; Magnoliopsida; Amborellales; Amborellaceae
Description: miR8563 stem-loop (atr-MIR8563)
Source: miRBase by way of RNAcentral
UUGUAAUUUGUGGAACAUUAAUUAGACAGAUGAAAGAUGCAACAUGAAAUGAAAUACAAGGAAAACGAGAUCAUCGUCAUCCAUCAAUUUCCUUUGCUUUUGCCCUUUUCCACUUAGUUUCUUGUACGCAUGCUAUGUUAACUCUCCCUCGCAUAACUGUAUUCAUUAACUCCAUACUCUAAGCUGUUAGAAUUGCUACAUUCCAUGUGGCUAGACGAAUUCCAAGAGAAUAGGAUUUGUCGAGUCACAUGGAAUGUAGGAACUCUAACAGGUAAGAGUACGGAGUUAGUAGAUACAAUGAGGCGAAGUAGAAUUAACAUAGUAUGUGCCUAUAGGAAAUUAAGUGGAAAGAGGCAAAAGCUAAGGAAAUUAAUAGAUGAUGAUGAUUGCAUUUUCCUUAUAUUUCAUGUUGUUUAUUUAAUCUCUAUAAUUAAUGUUUUACAAAUUAUAA